GAUGAACGCUGGCGGCGUGCCUAAUACAUGCAAGUCGAGCGAACAGACGAGGAGCUUGCUCCUCUGACGUUAGCGGCGGACGGGUGAGUAACACGUGGAUAACCUACCUAUAAGACUGGGAUAACUUCGGGAAACCGGAGCUAAUACCGGAUAAUAUAUUGAACCGCAUGGUUCAAUAGUGAAAGACGGUUUUGCUGUCACUUAUAGAUGGAUCCGCGCCGCAUUAGCUAGUUGGUAAGGUAACGGCUUACCAAGGCAAUGAUGCGUAGCCGAGCUGAGAGGGUGAUCGGCCACACUGGAACUGAGACACGGCACAGAGUCCGACGGGAGGCAGCAGUAGGGAAUCGUCCGAAAUGGGCGAAAGCCUGACGGAGGAACGGCGCGUGAGUGAUGAAGGUCCUCGGGUCGUAAAACGCUGUUAUUAGGGAAGAACAAAUGUGUAAGUAACUAUGCACGUCUUGACGGUACCUAAACAGAAAGCCACGGCUAACUACGU
This 496-nucleotide ribosomal RNA is filed under the name uncultured bacterium. RNAcentral describes it as "partial 16S ribosomal RNA". It matches the Rfam family "Bacterial small subunit ribosomal RNA", at positions 28 to 506 of the family's 1533-position model. The record is from RNAcentral.